This 2515-nucleotide long non-coding RNA is filed under the name Macaca mulatta (Rhesus monkey). Its description in RNAcentral is "lncRNA (ENSMMUG00000051756.1)". The record is from RNAcentral. Lineage: Eukaryota; Metazoa; Chordata; Mammalia; Primates; Cercopithecidae.
UUCCCGUCUGCCUUUCUCUUUGUUUCUCACUGAAGCCCAGAAAGCUUGCCUGGUCGUGAUUUUUAUUAUUAGUGGUAUUAAUAUUAGUGUCUUGCCUUUCGGUUUGGAUGGCCUGCAGAACUCACGCCCAGCAGUGUACGGCCACUGAGCCCGCUGAGGCAGGGGGGUUAACUGGGCUAGGGGGCUUCUAGCUCCCAGCCUCUGUGGGCUAUUUUUGUGGUUUUUCUCGCUCUCUCCCAGCAAGCCUUGUGUCUGUGGGAUGUACCCAGUCUUUCCCGUGUACGCAUUUGAAAGGAGCAGAUGAAAGCUGCUCCUCUGAGCCCGCCUAAUUGGAGAGAAUUGCAGUUUAGAGAGCAACUGAAACAAGUCAUCACAAACUGGGCAGCUUAAACAACAGAAAUUUAUCCUCUCACAGUCCUGGAGGCCAGAAGUUCCAUAGCAAGGUGUCAGCAGGGCCAUGCUCUCUCUCUGAAGGAUCCAGGAAAGACUCCUUCCUUUCCUCUUCCGGCUUCCGGUGGUGGCCGUCAAGGCUUGGCAUUCUUUGGCUCAUAGCUGCAUCACUGCAAUCUCUGCCUCUCUCACCACAUCAUGUUCACUCUGCGUCUGUGUCUUCUCCUCUUACAAGACACCAGGCAUAUUGAAUUUAGCACCUACUGUAACCUUGUAUGACCUCAUUUUAAUGUAAUUACAUUUGCAAAGAUCCUAUUUCCCCUAUUUCCCAAUAAGGUCACAUUCGCAGGUACCUAGGAUUGGGACUUCUACACGAUCUUUUCAGAAGACACAGUUCAACCCGCAAUAGUACCCCAUGGGGUGUUGUGAGAAUUAAGUGAGAUAAUAUGAAAAGAGCUUAGACCAAUGCCUGGAACAUAGGAGCAUGAAUUAUUUAUUCUUUCUAAACCUUACAAUAAGCUCAGAAGGGUGGAUCUUAUUGCACUUCUUCAACAGAACAGAAGCCCUAGGCUGGAGGUGAAAGAAACUGGCCUGAGGCCACCCAGGUAGUUAGUGGUACAGUUCAAGUUUACAGUGGCUUGCUCUAGCUCCAGAACCCAAAAACUUCUAAUAAUUGAUUACUCCGCACUCCAGCUAGAGCGACUUGGCUUUCUAGAACAAUCCAGUUUCUUUAUACUUUCCUUAUGAAACUCACUUUCCAACCCUGGGGUUCUCCUACUUCACUCUCCUGCCACCUGCUAUGAAUUAUUCAAGUUCAAAUUCACUACUUUAGAAUCCCAAAUUAAAAAGCACUCAGCUAGAAUAGCGGAGAUUCUUGCAUAUAUCUUUAACCAAGCUUGUCCAACCUACUCUUGCAAGCCACAUGCAGCCCAGAACGGCUUUGAAUGCAGCCCCCCAAAAUUCGUAAACUUUCUUAAAACAUCAUGAGACUUUUUUGUGAUUUAUUUUUAGCUCAUCAGCUAGCAAUAGUGUUAGUGUAUUUUGUGUGUGACCCAAGACAGUUCUUCUUUCAGUGUGGCCCAGGGAAGCCAAAAGAUUGGACGCCCCCACCUUAAACCCUUACUCAUUCUUAGUACAAUGUCAGGCUUAACCAGGAUAUCAAAAUAGACUGCCACAUUUCCUCACCUCAAGGGUUUAUGGAUGAGAAACGUCCAGAAUCAGUUACAAAUGAAUUUACAAUAUGCCAGAUGCUCUUCUAAGUGCUUUAACAGAUGUUGACACAUUAAAGCCCCCUGACAACUCUGUGAAGGAAAUAUUGGUUUACUCCCAUUUUACAGAUUAGGAAUAUGCAGACACAGAAUGGCUAAGAUCACAGAGCUGGAAUGUUCCAGAACGGGCACUUGGCUGGGGUAGUCUGCCUUUUAGUUCCAGAGCCUAUGCUUUUAUGAGCUGUGUUCCAUGUGCGGUGGAUUUAUUUAAACAUCCCCUGAGGACAUUAAGGUUAGUUUUAAUAUUUGGACAUUCGAAACAAUGCUAGAGUAAACAUCCUCAAGUUAAAUAUUUGCGCACAACCCGAAUUAUUUUUCUGAUAGAAUUGUCAAAGAGUAAGCAUGUUAUUAACGCUUUGGUAUAUAACGUCAAAUUGCAAGAACGAGGGAAGGAGCUCUCAGGAAGUGAAAAUGGGAUCAGCAACAGCAUGAAAUGGAAAAGCAUGGGGGUAUGUCUGGAAAAUGGCAAACACUCCAAUCUGAAUGGAAUGUAAAGUGCUUGAAGACAAGAGACUGAAGCGCUGCUUCUAAAUUGGUCUGGACCCAGCUUGUGGAGCACUUUGAACACCAGACUUCAGAAUUUAGACUCUGUCAAGCAGCACUCAAAAACCAGCAUACAUUUUUGAACUGGGGAGUGAAAUGAUCAGAUUCUGUCUAAAAUAAUUUGCUCAAGAAAAACUUGAGGAAAGAAAAACUUCUCUCCCUUCAUAGGAGGAGUCAUUCAUCACAACUGCAUCGGUACAAAUGGACUGGUGGGGGUACAUUUCAUUUAUUCUUUUAACAUGGUACAUUCUUGAAAUUACCACUUCAACACACAGAGAAAUAAAAAGAUUAAUGUAAAGAAUAAAUAUAUCAAU